Molecule: long non-coding RNA, 446 nt
Organism: Felis catus (domestic cat)
Lineage: Eukaryota; Metazoa; Chordata; Mammalia; Carnivora; Felidae
Exons: 3
Source: RefSeq, a predicted model, not a curated record
CUUUUUGUUUCUGUCCACACCCCUGGCGUCUCGGCCUGCCGCUUUAAUGGCUUUCUUGUUUAAUUUGACAGCGGUAGCACCAGCUCUCUGCAGGUGGAAGUAACGGGACAGAUGAAGAAAAGGAGUUUGCACUUUGAAUUGUAUUUUGACUUGAAGCAAGGAUCCAUCUAUGUUGCCUUUCAUGAUCUGCUCUGGGACCAACAGCCAGCCUGAAAGCGAACGUUCAGUGUCAAGUGGCUUCCAGUUCUGCAGAGCACCCUUUCAUCAUGCUGAAAUGCGACUGGCCUCCUGUGUCUUCUCUCCCCAGGCAUUGCUCUUAUUUCACCUGGUUCUUGUCUGUCCCAUUUUGUGCAGUCAUUUCUAGGCUCCUUUGAAAUUUCAUGCCCCCCCCCCUUUUUUAAAUCAAGAUUGCCUAAUAAAAAAUAAUGGUAAGAUUUCAAGCCUGA